UACGGGGGGGGCAAGCGUUGUUCGGAAUUACUGGGCGUAAAGGGCUCGUAGGUGGCCAACUAAGUCGGACGUGAAAUCCCUCAGCUUAACUGGGGAACUGCGUCCGAUACUGGAUGGCCUGAGUUUGGGAGAGGGAUGCGGAAUUCCAGGUGUAGCGGUGAAAUGCGUAGAUAUCUGGAGGAACACCGGUGGCGAAGGCGGCAUCCUGGACCAACACUGACACUGAGGAGCGAAAGCCAGGGGAGCAAACGGG
RNAcentral lists this ribosomal RNA (253 nucleotides) under uncultured bacterium. RNAcentral's name for it is "partial 16S ribosomal RNA". It matches the Rfam family "Bacterial small subunit ribosomal RNA", at positions 524 to 776 of the family's 1533-position model. The record is from RNAcentral.